CCUACGGGAGGCUGCAGUGGGGAAUAUUGGACAAUGGGCGAAAGCCUGAUCCAGCCAUGCCGCGUGUGUGAAGAAGGCCUUCGGGUUGUAAAGCACUUUCAGUGGGGAAGAAAGCCUUGGGGCUAAUACCCUCGAGGAAGGACAUCACCCACAGAAGAAGCACCGGCUAACUCCGUGCCAGCAGCCGCGGUAAUACGGAGGGUGCGAGCGUUAAUCGGAAUUACUGGGCGUAAAGCGCGCGUAGGCGGUCUGAUAAGCCGGUUGUGAAAGCCCCGGGCUCAACCUGGGAACGGCAUCCGGAACUGUCAGGCUAGAGUGCAGGAGAGGAAGGUAGAAUUCCCGGUGUAGCGGUGAAAUGCGUAGAGAUCGGGAGGAAUACCAGUGGCGAAGGCGGCCUUCUGGAUUGACACUGACGCUGAGGUGCGAAAGCGUGGGUAGCAAACAGGAUUAGAUACCCCGGUAGUC
RNAcentral lists this ribosomal RNA (465 nucleotides) under Vreelandella stevensii. RNAcentral describes it as "partial 16S ribosomal RNA". It matches the Rfam family "Bacterial small subunit ribosomal RNA", at positions 338 to 795 of the family's 1533-position model. The record is from RNAcentral. Lineage: Bacteria; Pseudomonadati; Pseudomonadota; Gammaproteobacteria; Oceanospirillales; Halomonadaceae.